Molecule: ribosomal RNA, 492 nt
Filed under: uncultured bacterium
Lineage: Bacteria
Description: partial 16S ribosomal RNA
Rfam family: Bacterial small subunit ribosomal RNA
Source: RNAcentral
AGUGAACGCUGGCGGUAGGCCUAACACAUGCAAGUCGAACGGCAGCACAGUAAGAGCUUGCUCUUACGGGUGGCGAGUGGCGGACGGGUGAGGAAUACAUCGGAAUCUACUUUUUCGUGGGGGAUAACGUAGGGAAACUUACGCUAAUACCGCAUACGACCUACGGGUGAAAGCAGGGGAUCUUCGGACCUUGCGCGAUUGAAUGAGCCGAUGUCGGAUUAGCUAGUUGGCGGGGUAAAGGCCCACCAAGGCGACGAUCCGUAGCUGGUGUGAGAGGAUGAUCAGCCACACUGGAACUGAGACACGGUCCAGACUCCUACGGGAGGCAGCAGUGGGGAAUAUUGGACAAUAGGCGCAAGCCUGAUCCAGCCAUACCGCGUGGGUUGAGAAGGCCUUCGGGUUGUGAAGCCCUUUUGUUGGGAAAGAAAAGCAGCAGGUUAAUACCCCGCUGUUCUGACGGUACCCAAAGAAUAAGCACCGGCUAACUUCGUG